Molecule: ribosomal RNA, 497 nt
Filed under: uncultured bacterium
Lineage: Bacteria
Description: partial 16S ribosomal RNA
Rfam family: Bacterial small subunit ribosomal RNA
Source: RNAcentral
GAUGAACGCUGGCGGCGUGCCUAAUACAUGCAAGUCGAGCGAACAGACGAGGAGCUUGCUCCUCUGACGUUAGCGGCGGACGGGUGAGUAACACGUGGAUAACCUACCUAUAAGACUGGGAUAACUUCGGGAAACCGGAGCUAAUACCGGAUAAUAUAUUGAACCGCAUGGUUCAAUAGUGAAAGACGGUUUUGCUGUCACUUAUAGAUGGAUCCGCGCCGCAUUAGCUAGUUGGUAAGGUAACGGCUUAUCAAGGCAACGAUGCGUAGCCGAACUGAGAGGGUGGUCGGCCACACUGGAACUGAGACACGGUCCAGACUCUUACGGGAGGCAGCAGUAGGGAAUCUUCCGCAAUGGGCGAAAGCUUGACGGAGCAGCGCCGCGUGAGUGAUGAAGGUCUUCGGAUCGUAAAACUCUGUUAUUAGGGAAGAACAAAUGUGUAAGUAACUAUGCACGUCUUGACGGUACCUAAUCAGAAAGCCACGGCUAACUACGUG